CAAUAGCGUAUAUUAAAGUUGUUGCAGUUAAAAAGCUCGUAGUUGGAUUUCUAGAUAAGUGGGUACUUGUACUUUGCUUGUCUACCAGUCAUAGACUGUUACUGUGAGAAAAUUAGAGUGUUUCAAGCAGGCUGUUGCAGGAAUACAUUAGCAUGGAAUAACGAAUGUGUCUGGAAUAUUGGUUAAUUCUAGAUUACGAUUAAUAGGGACAGUUGGGGGAGUUAGUAUUUAAUUGUCAGAGGUGAAAUUACUUGGAUUUAUUUAAAGAACUGACUUAUGCGAAAGACAUUUGCCAAGGAUGUUUUCAUUGAUCAAGAACGAAAGUUAAGGGGAGUCAAAGAACGA
This 345-nucleotide ribosomal RNA is filed under the name uncultured eukaryote. Its description in RNAcentral is "bacterial SSU rRNA". It matches the Rfam family "Eukaryotic small subunit ribosomal RNA", at positions 592 to 1007 of the family's 1831-position model. The record is from RNAcentral.